GGUCGUAUAAACAUCCGACCCGCAAUGGCGGACUUGUUCGCACGGUAUCGCGAGUUCGUGAAAGCGAAUCCCGCUCUAGCCUCCGAACUCGAGACCGUACUUCGCUGGAUCUCUUACUUCACGGCGGGUCGCUUUGGCAAGUCAGCUGUGGUUGCUGAGUUCCUUUACUCCUCAUCCAGCUUGCUGACCCUACUCAAUGACCUCAUCCUACGACAUGCUGCCAACGUUCCCGUGCAUGUGGAUCGAGCUGUUGAACGGCUCCAAUCCUGCCUGGCUGUCGUCGAGUACGUCGAAGUGUUUGCCGAGCUGGCUGCCCUGCACCUGCGUGGGGACCUGGCUCGAUGGGUGGCGGUCGCCAUCGUCCAGACGCUCAAGGCAUGCCUUCGACUGGUGCUCCUUUUGUACCACAAGCAGGGGCUCCAGUGCAGCCCCAGUGUCGCUCCAUUCGACCGGAAACUUGCUCAAGGUGGCCCAGCUGCCACCCAGCCUUGCUACGAACUUCGACACAGUGGACGGCCACUGCGUACCUUAGCAGCAGCACCACCUAUGUCGAGGAGACAGUGGCGCCCCCCCUCAGCACCCCAGGGCACAUCUGGGACCAACGGCAGCCUAAAGCGCCUGCAAGGUGUCGAGCUGGCUGCAGAGGUGGCGCAUGUCGUGAGGCCGCUUGCACACUUAUCAGCUGUGGGUCUGUGUGGCCGCUCCUCUUGGACCCCAUGGUUGAUGGCGGCUGGUCUAGAUGUGGCUAGUUUGCAGGUUCUGUCGCGGACGCGUGCUUCCCUGCAGCCACGUGAGCGGCUGGAGUUGAGUCGUCGUCUUCUGCAGCUGACGCUCUAUGUAGUGCGAUCCCCAUUCUACGAGCGCAUCUCCCAACGCCGAAUAUUCUUGGCCCUCCAAGCACUCGGUGACUCCGUGCCCCUCCUUGGCUGGAUCACCAGGCCACUGGCUGACUACAUUCCGGAGUGGCAGAACACCUACUGCCACAAUUGGGCCUCCUAGGGCACUACCCUUGGACAUGCCUGACCUAACAAGAUAAGCAGCCUUGCCCAACAAGGCAGCCACUUACACUACUGUAUAUCGUUCUGUGAACGGAACUAUUGUAGGCUCACUGCAAGUGUAGCCCCACGUUCUAUCUGGUUUGCCUUCACGGAGCCACACGCUACAGCUUGGUGACAUGGUGAAGGAACAGCCAUUACCAGGGAUGUUUCAUUUGUGCUCGAGAUGACACAGCAGUUAUGUACUCCGCCGUUAGUAUUAGAUAGCAAUGUAUUUGAGCGACAUUUAUGAAGAUAACAAGUAUUAGAUAGCAAUGUAUUUGAGUGACUUAGCUGCACAAGACGUCGUAAUUUACGCCAUUGCGCGUGGUGCCGAAUGUAAUUGUGCCAGACGAUUUGUUUUUGAUGCAUUCAAUAUGAUGUUCAGUGAUGGUCCUUCAUGCUGCUAAUUUUAUUCGAAUUCUUUUCACGUCCAUGGGUUGAUUGCAGAUAGGCAGCACAACAAUGCCAGCAUGGUGCGUGCAGGACUGUGCGAAAUAUGACGAUGAGAGUGGUAACACUAUGGUGCCAUCUCUAUAGUGGUGCCAGCUUAGUUGUAUCGCCUGGUUAGUGAUGUCAGUAUGGUGUAGCAUAUGUUUUCUGAGCUCUUUGACUGCUGGUGUGCGCAUAGAUUUUUCAUUCAAACGAUUGUCGUUCUCUCUGCCAGCCUUUUUGACUGCAGGGCCAGCCACCAGCUGCUCCUAUUAAACAACUUCCACAAACCAGUUGUUUCGCAUCGUGAACUUGGGCUGUGAACUAGUAAGAAUCCUGUAUGAGAAGCAUAUUUGACUUGCGCUUUUAUGGGCAAGUUUGAGGUCUGUGUUUUGUCCUGGUCUGGUAAUUUUUCUGUAUAAAGUGUGAAAAAGCUUUAGCAAUUCUUUAUGCAAUGGCACAAGCUCUUCUAUGCAGAAGAGUCUCACUUGUUCUAUGCUGGAAGGUUAAUUCUCCAAAAGAACAUUUUGUGUGAAUUUAUUUCGGCAUACAAUGCAAUUCGCGUUUUUUUUCGUGUCUGUGUUCUGUCUGCAAAUUUAGGCACAAAGUGCUGUUGCUUUCAUGUUUUUAUUGACUUUAAUAAUACAUUUUGGUGGGACCAAUGAAGUUGGUCAAAUUUGCUUGCAGUUAAAGUGAAGAAAAGGUAGGCAAAAAGGAUUUCGUUGGCAGUGUAUUGCCCAUAUGUAAUAUGUUCCCGAUUCAAUUUCAUACUCUUGUUAUACAAGUUUAGAAGUAUGAAGCUGAUGAGAAAUUGAAUUACGUUAAAGCUCCUCAGCAGAGUUAAAAUAGAAUGCCCUCCCCAAUAUCGCAAAAUGAAAUGCGACCCUCUGGCAAAAAAAAAAAAAGAAGUGAAAUUGGCAGACUUUACCUUAGUGAAACAGAAAUUCGUCGCUUAAGUACUGCUGUCAGUCGGCACACCAUUGCUGUCUAUGGACAAUCACAACAUGUCAGUCAUACAUUCCUGACAUAUUUAAUAUUCAACAUUCGUUGAACAGUUGCAAAACUGAGCAUAGGCUUAUACAUUGACUAACUAUUCUGUUGAAGCUCAUUCUGUGAUGCACGUGAUGCUCAGAAAAGCCAGUGAUGUAUGAUAUAACUUGUGAAAUAACUUAUUUGCGAAUACACUAGCCAUUUGCAUGAAAAGAGCACCACAUGGUCAUUGCCAUGCCAUGCUCAUCUUCAUGCCAUCAGUGGUCAUCAUGUGACACAAUGGCAGUGUCAUUGACAUUGCAUGGCCAGACUGUAUCUGAUAGUAGGACGGUACAAACUCAUUUUUUUAAUGCAAAGCAGCUCUUUGACUAGCCCGUGUAACGCUGUUUCUCCGUCUGCACUGCGCUCCCCAGGCUGCAGGUGUUGUGGCGGUGCCAAGUAGGUCGCGCCUUUCCUCGCAGUGCGCGGGCGUUGACGUCACUCUCUCCUUGGCCUAUCGCCGCUCGCUGUGUGUCAUCACUCUCGCUUCACCCUCUCCACCGCUUGCAACGUUCGAGGACACAUCGAGUAGAAACACUCUUUUGGCUCGAUUACCUACCAUAAAACACGAAACCCAACCCGCCUCUCGUGCCUUUGCGUUUCAAAGAAAUGUUUACUCGAAAAAAGGUUACACCGAGUCUCGCUUUAAACCGUUCUUCCAGCUCCUGCGUCCACGUUCAUUUCAACCGGGUCAGCGACGUGCGCACUGCUGCUGCUUCGCAUCCCCUUAUGGUUCUCUUCUGGGAGAUGGCCCAUACAUUUUGCAUAUCUCAUUUCACUGUGCCAGGCAUUUCGAGACAAAGAUGAUCGUACAUUACCAUAAAAUUGCUUUAAAUAAUGCAAAUCUGCUAUACUUGUCAUUUUGUUGCUUCUGGAUUUCUUGCUUGGUCAUCUUGAAUUUGCUUUGUAGGUUGUCAUUUUUGAGACCCCUAUAAUUUUUAUCUAUGUGAGUUCAUAAUGGGCCCAAUGCGAUGUAUGCUUCAAGAAUGAGUGUAUAGAUGUUUUACUAAAUAAACUGGCAAAUAAAAAAGUUUGUCACUUUAUUACGCA
This 3545-nucleotide unclassified non-coding RNA is filed under the name Rhipicephalus microplus (southern cattle tick). RNAcentral's name for it is "peroxisomal membrane protein PEX16-like, transcript variant X1". The record is from RNAcentral. Lineage: Eukaryota; Metazoa; Arthropoda; Arachnida; Ixodida; Ixodidae.